UACGGAGGGUGCAAGCGUUAAUCGGAAUUACUGGGCGUAAAGCGUGCGUAGGCGGUUCGUUAAGUCUGUUGUGAAAGCCCCGGGCUCAACCUGGGAAUGGCAAUGGAUACUGGCGAGCUAGAGUGUGUCAGAGGAUGGUGGAAUUCCCGGUGUAGCGGUGAAAUGCGUAGAGAUCGGGAGGAACAUCAGUGGCGAAGGCGGCCAUCUGGGACAACACUGACGCUGAGGCACGAAAGCGUGGGGAGCGAACAGG
RNAcentral lists this ribosomal RNA (253 nucleotides) under uncultured bacterium. Its description in RNAcentral is "partial 16S ribosomal RNA". It matches the Rfam family "Bacterial small subunit ribosomal RNA", at positions 524 to 776 of the family's 1533-position model. The record is from RNAcentral.